UACGUAGGGUGCAAGCGUUGUCCGGAGUUAUUGGGCGUAAAGAGCUCGUAGGCGGUCUGUUACGUCGGCUGUGAAAACCUGGGGCUCAACUCCGGGCCUGCAGCCGAUACGGGCAGACUAGAGUUCGGCAGGGGAGACUGGAAUUCCCGGUGUAGCGGUGAAAUGCGCAGAUAUCGGGAGGAACACCGGUGGCGAAGGCGGGUCUCUGGGCCGAUACUGACACUGAGAAGCGAAAGCGUGGGGAGCGAACAGG
This 253-nucleotide ribosomal RNA is filed under the name uncultured bacterium. RNAcentral describes it as "partial 16S ribosomal RNA". It matches the Rfam family "Bacterial small subunit ribosomal RNA", at positions 524 to 776 of the family's 1533-position model. The record is from RNAcentral.